AUGAGAGGGGAAUUCAUCAAUUUGCAAAAAAUGGUUAGAGAUGAAGCUCCAUAUGCUUUUUAUGUUCAUUGCUUUGCUCACCAGUUACAGUUGGUGGUUGUCACAGUUGCUCAAUGUAGUCCUGCUAUUGCUGAUUUCUUCAACUAUAUUCCCUUGAUAGUGACUCAAGUGUGUUCAUCUUGCAAAAGGAAAGAUGCAUUACUUGCCAAACACCAAGAUGAAUUGUUAGAUUUGAUGGAGAAUGGAAAGAUUUCAGCUGGAACGGGGUUGCAUCAAGAAUCUAGCAUAACAAGACCAAGAGAUACUCCUUGGGGUUCACAUCUCAGAACCUUGCUUCGUAUAUUCAGAAUGUGGAAUACUAUGGUGGAUGUGCUAGGAAUUGUUGUGGUUGAUGCUCGGGAACACACAUGUCAUGGUGGAAACUUUUGUGAAACACAUGAUAUUGAUGUGCCAAACAUGGAUGAUCUUGUUGGAACUAUGGGUCAAUCGGUUCACACUAAGAAUAUGGUGACUCGACUGCACUAUUACAAGGUUAGCAUAUUCAAUGUUGUCAUUGAUGCAACUAUCACUGAGAUGAAUCACUGA
RNAcentral lists this ribosomal RNA (585 nucleotides) under Triticum aestivum (bread wheat). Its description in RNAcentral is "partial small subunit ribosomal RNA". The record is from RNAcentral. Lineage: Eukaryota; Viridiplantae; Streptophyta; Magnoliopsida; Poales; Poaceae.